UACGGAGGGUGCGAGCGUUGUCCGGAAUCACUGGGCGUAAAGCGUGCGCAGGCGGUCUGUUAAGACCGAUGUGAAAUCCCCGGGCUUAACCUGGGAACUGCAUUGGUGACUGGCAGGCUUUGAGUGUGGCAGAGGGAGGUAGAAUUCCACGUGUAGCAGUGAAAUGCGUAGGGAUGUGGAGGAAUACCGAUGGCGAAGGCAGCCUCUGGGCCAACACUGACGCUCAUGCACGAAAGCGUGGGGAGCAAACAGG
This 253-nucleotide ribosomal RNA is filed under the name uncultured bacterium. RNAcentral's name for it is "partial 16S ribosomal RNA". It matches the Rfam family "Bacterial small subunit ribosomal RNA", at positions 524 to 776 of the family's 1533-position model. The record is from RNAcentral.